CAUAAUUCAGUGAAAAAACUAUAUGAUUUUUUUUAAUACGACAUAUAUAUAAUCUUCAUGAUAAAACUUUUUUUUUGUUAAGAUUUGUAAAGUGAGAUAUAACAAUUAAGUACAUACCAUACUCAUAUAAAUUGUUAUUGUUAAAUUUUAAAAAUAAUAUAACUGAAAGUAUAAGAAAAUUUCCACAUCAACUUACUUUAAAGAAUUAACUAUAUUUUUCAAAAAUUAAAUGAAGUCCAAAUUAAAUGUAAAUGUAGUUUUAAAGUAUAUAAUUUUUACUAAAAUUCAAAAUUUUAUAAAACAAUAUCCCAACCAAUCAUCUCGCUUUAUUUAAAAAAAGAACUAAUUUAGAAAGAGAGAAACUUUGGCCUUCGAUAGAAUAACAAGUAUUCUUAUCAUUUUAGUUAGCAUUUUCAGGUUUUAGAGUUUUAUUGGAGAUAAUCUAACAAUCUAACCUAUACUAAAAGGGGAUAUCAAGCCCUCUCACCGCAUCCACGUCAGCUGAAAAAUUCAGCCAAUAAGAAUCAAUGUUUUUUCCACAUCACCUAUGUCUUCUCUGUGUGGGCCUCUACGUUUCAUUCUCCGUAUGGGCCUCUACGUCAGCAUCUUUUUAUUAUUUGUAGGUCUCACAAAAAUUCAAUUUAGAAUCUCUUAAACUAAUAACGAGUUAACCUAAUCCAAUUCAUUGCUCUGUCUUCCACUUCCUCUGUUGGCUUGCCGCCUGCGCCCUUUCACUUCUCAUAUCAUUCCCCUCUCCAUUAUUAAUUUUUAUAUAACUUCAACAAUUCAAGCGUUUCGUAACCGAUAGAGGGAGACCACUAUAAAUAGCAGAGGCCCCAGCACCAAGACCAACAUCUGAUCUCCCUGCAAGUUACUAUCCAACAGUGUCUGCGGCCGGCGAUGCUCUUGCUUCCCCAGCUGUGGUUCACCAUGCUACUUUUGAUGAUCUUCGUCAUAGAUGUUUGGGUGGCACGGCUCCGUAUUAACCCAUUGCAUGCAAGGCAAGGGAACCUUAUGAUUUCCAACCAGGUGUCUUAGCCGCUGAUGCUAUAACUCUUGCAUUUGUUUGUCUUAAUUUAUUUAAUGUAUGAAAAUUCAUGGUAUACUUAAUGAUCCAGUUUAUGUUGAUUUACUGAUAGAGACUAGAGAUUGCAUGUUUAUAUUUGUCAUAUCUUUAAUUCUCUUCGGCCAUUUUCUUUAGGACGCUUUUAGAUACCUCUUAAGCAUAGUUAAGCAUGAGGUUCUCUUAUAUGUUGAAAGUUUUUCAGAAAGUAAAUGUAUGUCUCAGACUCCUUGAUAUGCUUGGUUUGAUGAGUGUUUGUUUUAUGAUAAAGUAAAUCUGAGGGAAAGAUAUGAGAUGGGAUUUUUUUGAUAAUAGCCCUGUUCGUUUUCAAAACGCUGCGUCAAAAACCAGCGGCCAAAAAUAUAAAAGGAUUUUAAGUGACAGCUCAGCAACCAAUAGAAAAAGAGGGCUGAAAUAUGCUAAUGUUCGCUGCUAGCGGCAGCUCAAGCUAUGUGCGGGUGACGCUGAUUUAAACAGCGACGAUAAAAUAGAAGAAACGAAGAGCAGCGACACUUGCCGGCGGCAAUUCUGUAACAACACUCCACUGAUAUUCCUCUCUCAUGCUUGUUAUUUUUUGGUCGCUGUUCUCUGACGCGCGUUAGAGAAACGAACAUGGCUAAUCUAAAUUAUUAUUGAAGCUUCAACGGCUGAUAUUAGCAAAGCUCAAAAAAAAAAAUGAAGGAAAGCUGGCGAAAUAGCAAUAUAGAAAUUGUAGUUGUGGCUUUUUAAUUCAUCUACUUAUAGUUUUGGCUUUUUCAAUGUGUUGACUAACUCCAAUGUGUAAACUUUUUCAUUUUCUGGCAUUUGGCAAUUUCUGUUAUCAAUGUGUUGACUAUGCAUUUUUGUAAUCAUCUCCAUAUAGAAGCUAGCGGAAGUACCAGAUAUAAGCAUAUUCUCAAGGCUUUUGGUCUUUGACGUAUCUUUCAAUGAAAUCACUUCGUUGGAAGGAUUAUCAAAGGCCUCUAGCACGUUGAAGGAGCUCUAUGUGUCUAAGAAUGAAGUUAACAAGAUUAUGGAGAUUGAACACUUGCACGACUUGCAGAUUUUUGAGCUAGGGUCCAAUAGAUUGCGGGUGAUGGUGAAUAUGGAGAGCUUGACAAAGUUAGAAGAGCUGUGGCUGGGAAGAAACCGUAUCAAAGUUGUGAACUUGUGUGGGCUCAGAUGCAUUAAAAAGAUUAGCUUGCAGAGCAAUCAAUUGACCUCUAUGAAAGGAUUUGAGUGUGGACAGGACUGUGUUGCUCUUGAAGAGUUGUAUCUGAGCCAUAAUGGUAUCUCAAAAAUGGAGUUGUGAACUUGUGUGGGCUCAGAUGUAUUAAAAAGAUUAGCUUGCAGAGCAAUCGAUUGACCUCUAUGAAAGGAUUUGAGGUGUGUGUUGUUUUACUCUUACCAUCAUUUUACGAAAUCUGAUGCAUUGAAAAAAAUAUGUGGACAUGACUGUGUUGCUCUUGAAGAGUUGUAUCUGAGCCAUAAUGGUAUCUCAAAAAUGGAAGGCUUGAGUGCGUUGGUUAACCUACGGGUAUUAGACGUGUCGAACAACAAGCUCACAUCAGUUGAUGACAUUCAGAGCCUCACAAAGCUGGAAGAUUUAUGGCUUAAUGACAACCAGAUAGAAAUACUUGAAGCUAUCACAGAAGCUGUUGAAGGCUCUAAAGCUAACAGAUUUCCCGGAUUCUCCAUAAAAUGGAUGCUAAUGUAACUGCAAACUGUGUUCAUUCUGGAAUCGUGAGAACGCGUCUCACAAGAGACCGAGACGGCCUCAUCACUGAUUUUGUCUUUUUCUUGACCUCUAAGCUUUUGAAGUCCGUUCCUCAGGCAGCAGCAACGACAUGCUGCCUAGCAACGAGUCCGAGAUUGAGGAACGUGUGCGGCAAAUACUUUUCAGACUGUAAUGAAGCUCGGACUUCUAAUCCGGAUCGUGCAAUCUUAAAGCUCAGAGACUGUGGACUGCUUCUGAGUUGUUGGUCACUCCAGCUUCCACUCCCGAUGUUUAUCAAACCUUUAACUAAUUUUUAACCAACGAUGCUAUGUAUGUGUAAAGCCUUUCCAAGCUUCUUGGUUGUGAAAUAUUUUAGAUCAUUUGGAGGAGUAAUAAAGUUUAUAUGUUAUCACUAA
Molecule: RNA transcript, 3175 nt
Organism: Brassica napus (rape)
Lineage: Eukaryota; Viridiplantae; Streptophyta; Magnoliopsida; Brassicales; Brassicaceae
Gene name: short-chain dehydrogenase TIC 32 A, chloroplastic-like
Exons: 7
Source: RefSeq, a predicted model, not a curated record